Molecule: long non-coding RNA, 768 nt
Filed under: Mus caroli (Ryukyu mouse)
Lineage: Eukaryota; Metazoa; Chordata; Mammalia; Rodentia; Muridae
Description: predicted gene 14110 (MGP_CAROLIEiJ_G0005492.1)
Source: RNAcentral
AAGAAAACAAAUGCCUAUGUGUUGGGCCCCAUUUUGGCUCUGGUUUGAGCCUUGAGGACAAACUGGAGCCUGGCUCAAGUUUCUGCAGCCUUGUGGGAGAGUCUAAGCCUGGCUUGAGUUUUGUGACCUGUCUCAGUCACUUCCAAAUGACUCAGCAAGAACUAUUUGUCCCUGCCUCUGCCCUACUGUUGUUGAUGCAGAGUUUUGCCAUUGGCCCUGUCAGUCACUCCAUACCCUCUGUCACCCUUCCCUGCCUCUAUGUCAUCUUACCCCACUGAAAAUCCCCCUGCCUAUGUUCCGAACUUAUAUAAGCGAGAGGCUGAUGCCUACUUUGACAGACUCCUUGCCCAGAUGUGUUUCUUUUGGGCCAUCCACACUCGCCAUCCCACUCAGCCCGGGAGAGACCCUGGCAGGACUGGUACCUCUCUCCUCUUACCUAGACCUGCCGGCACCUAAGAGGAGAAAAGAAAAUAUACCACCAUGUUUGGUGAAGCCACUUGCCAGGGGCAUCUCAGAAUAACUUUGCCCAUGGUCUCCAGGUAUCCCCAGCAGACAGUGUACCUGGAUGAGAUGAUGGGGUUUCAACACCGCCUCUGGGGCUCUCCAUAACUGAGUGUGUGCACUAUUGAUGUUAACCUAUGGGGGCGAUGAAACCAAGGGUCAGAGAAUUGUUCUUCAAGGCCAUGCAGCUGCAGUGGGAAACUGGAAUCUGGACUGGAACUGUAGAAUCCUCCUCCAGCUUCUGCUGUGUUGAGGAUGGAACUCAUG